RNAcentral lists this ribosomal RNA (253 nucleotides) under uncultured bacterium. RNAcentral's name for it is "partial 16S ribosomal RNA". It matches the Rfam family "Bacterial small subunit ribosomal RNA", at positions 524 to 776 of the family's 1533-position model. The record is from RNAcentral.
UACGUAGGGUGCAAGCGUUAAUCGGAAUUACUGGGCGUAAAGCGUGCGCAGGCGGUUCCAUAAGACAGAUGUGAAAGCCCCGGGCUCAACCUGGGAACUGCAUUUGUGACUGUGGGGCUAGAGUACGGUAGAGGGGGAUGGAAAUCCGCGUGUAGCAGUGAGAUGCGUAGAUAUGCGGAGGAACACCAAUGGCGAAGGCAAUCCCCUGGACCUGUACUGACGCUCAUGCACGAAAGCGUGGGGAGCAAACAGG